GUGAGUCAUCGAAUCUUUGAACGCACAUUGCGCCCCUUGGUAUUCCGGGGGGCAUGCCUGUUCGAGCGUCAUUUCAACCCUCAAGCUCUGCUUGGUCUUGGGCCGCGCCGGCAACGGCGGGCCUCAAAAACAGUGGCGGCGCCAUCGUGUUCCUCAGCGUAGUAAUUCUUCUCGCUGUUGGGCCCCGGUGGCCGCUGGCCAGCAACCCCCAAUUUUUCUAUGGUUGACCUCGGAUCAGGUAGGGAUACCCGCUGAACUUAAGCAUAUCAAUAAGCGGAGGA
Molecule: unclassified non-coding RNA, 281 nt
Filed under: Calycina sp. (in: ascomycete fungi)
Lineage: Eukaryota; Fungi; Ascomycota; Leotiomycetes; Helotiales; Pezizellaceae
Description: Calycina sp. partial contains 5.8S ribosomal RNA, internal transcribed spacer 2, and large subunit ribosomal RNA
Rfam family: 5.8S ribosomal RNA (bases 1-71)
Source: RNAcentral